RNAcentral lists this ribosomal RNA (402 nucleotides) under uncultured bacterium. RNAcentral describes it as "bacterial SSU rRNA". It matches the Rfam family "Bacterial small subunit ribosomal RNA", at positions 29 to 417 of the family's 1533-position model. The record is from RNAcentral.
AGCGAACGCUGGCGGCGUGCUUAACACAUGCAAGUCGAACGUGAAAAGGGGUAACCCUGAGUAAAGUGGCGUACGGGUGAGUAACACGUAGGUAAUCUACCCUAGAGUCUGGAAUAACCUGCCGAAAGGCGGGCUAAUACUGGAUAGAGCAAUUUGUUCGUAAAGGGAUGAAUUGGGAAAGGGAGCCUGAAAGGGCCCUUGCUUUAGGAUGAGCCUGCGUCCCAUUAGCUAGUUGGCAGGGGUAACGGCCUACCGAGGCGAUGAUGGGUAGCUGGUCUGAGAGGAUGAUCAGCCACACUGGAACUGAAACACGGUCCAGACUCCUACGGGAGGCAGCAGUGGGGAAUCUUGCGCAAUGGGCGAAAGCCUGACGCAGCCACGCCGCGUGAGUGAAGAAGGCCU